GUAAGUAAACUGGCAGGCUAAAGGGACGCAGCCAGUAAUAUAGAAGGGCAAAGGACUAUAGCAAUUUCAUCCCUUAUCCCGAAAGAGUUGAUGGAACCGGAAGACUGACGCCAUCUGAAGACACCUCUCCUUAGGGGAAAAGACGCCACCGCAAGACGGCAGCGCCGAGCUGGCACCCCCAAAUGGGGAAUUGUGAUGCAAAUCUAGGCCUAAGACAAAAGGGACCAAGGGUCGCUGACCAGUAGGAAAACCUCCAAGGAAGUACCCCCCCAACUUUCAAGGGAUGAGGGGGCGAACGCCAAAAGCAUGGGUGGCCCUUCUUCACCGACUGAGAGUCUUACGAGGUGGAUGUGCUGUCCUCUGUCCGCCUCUUCCGAGAGGCAACUCUCUCUCCCUUACAAAGGGGACGAAAGUACUUUUGCUGAACUUCCACAUAUGGUUACAAACCGUAGUACACCAUUCCACUCCAGGGAAGUCCCUUACAGCUUCAAGCUUCAGCGGUUAACCAUGGUUAACCUA
Macrobrachium nipponense is the source of this 519-nucleotide long non-coding RNA. RefSeq lists it as uncharacterized. The transcript is spliced from 3 exons. Lineage: Eukaryota; Metazoa; Arthropoda; Malacostraca; Decapoda; Palaemonidae. The record is from RefSeq and is a predicted model, not a curated record.